GAUGAACGCUGGCGGCGUGCCUAAUACAUGCAAGUCGAGCGAACAGACGAGGAGCUUGCUCCUCUGACGUUAGCGGCGGACGGGUGAGUAACUCGUGGAUAACCUACCUAUAAGACUGGGAUAACUUCGGGAAACCGGAGCUAAUACCGGAUAAUAUAUUGAACCGCAUGGUUCAAUAGUGAAAGACGGUUUUGCUGUCACUUAUAGAUGGAUCCGCGCCGCAUUAGCUAGUUGGUAAGGUAACGGCUUACCAAGGCAACGAUGCGUAGCCGACCUGAGAGGGUGAUCGGCCACACUGGAACUGAGAGACGGUCCAGACUCCUACGGGAGGCAGCAGUAGGGAAUCUUCCGCAAUGGGCGGAAGCCUGACGGAGCAACGCCGCGUGAGUGAUGAAGGUCUUCGGAUCGUAAAACUCUGUUAUUAGGGAAGAACAAAUGUGUAAGUAACUAUGCACGUCUUGACGGUACCUAAUCAGAAAGCCACGGCUAACUAAGUG
RNAcentral lists this ribosomal RNA (497 nucleotides) under uncultured bacterium. Its description in RNAcentral is "partial 16S ribosomal RNA". It matches the Rfam family "Bacterial small subunit ribosomal RNA", at positions 28 to 507 of the family's 1533-position model. The record is from RNAcentral.